Molecule: ribosomal RNA, 301 nt
Filed under: uncultured bacterium
Lineage: Bacteria
Description: partial 16S ribosomal RNA
Rfam family: Bacterial small subunit ribosomal RNA
Source: RNAcentral
CAGUAGCCGCGGUAAUACGUAGGUGGCAAGCGUUGUCCGGAAUUAUUGGGCGUAAAGGGCUCGCAGGCGGUUUCUUAAGUCUGAUGUGAAAGCCCCCGGCUCAACCGGGGAGGGUCAUUGGAAACUGGGAAACUUGAGUGCAGAAGAGGAGAGUGGAAUUCCACGUGUAGCGGUGAAAUGCGUAGAGAUGUGGAGGAACACCAGUGGCGAAGGCGGCUCUCUGGUCUGUAACUGACGCUGAGGAGCGAAAGCGUGGGGAGCGAACAGGAUUAGAUACCCCAGUAGUCCCUGUCUCUUAUAC